This 68-nucleotide transfer RNA is filed under the name Marmota monax (woodchuck). Its description in RNAcentral is "tRNA.Ser". The stretch from base 5 to 65 matches the Rfam family "tRNA", at positions 6 to 65 of the family's 71-position model. Rfam says of the family: Transfer RNA (tRNA) molecules are approximately 80 nucleotides in length. Lineage: Eukaryota; Metazoa; Chordata; Mammalia; Rodentia; Sciuridae. The record is from RNAcentral.
GGAAUGUGGCUCAGUGGUAGAGCACUCACCUCGAAUGUGGGAGGCACUGGGUUUGAUCCUCAGCGCCA